RNAcentral lists this long non-coding RNA (991 nucleotides) under Fukomys damarensis (Damara mole-rat). Its description in RNAcentral is "lncRNA (ENSFDAG00000028239.1)". Lineage: Eukaryota; Metazoa; Chordata; Mammalia; Rodentia; Bathyergidae. The record is from RNAcentral.
GUGACAAACUGAAGGUUCACAUCUCAGGUGAUACUGAGUUGCCCAGUGGCAUUGAGAAUUGUCUCACUCCUCCAAUUCUCAAUUUCUUCUUCUUUCAAAAUAUAGGAGUGUGGUAAUGACCAUGGUCCUACCCAAGGUUGGAAUGGCUCCCAUUCAUACAACUACAGAGACUUGACUUAAGAAGCUAAUUCCUCACAGAAACAGGAGGGGUGACAGAACUGAAGUCCCCAGAGCAUUUAUAUCACAUCUUCCUCUUUUCUCUAACAGACUUUUGAAGAAUUCCUCAAAUGUAUAAUAUUUUACCAACUGAAGAGUAGGGCAUUAGGAAAGUCCUCAUUGAAAAUGAACACAGUUGAGGAAACAAUACAAUCUUUGUCCAGCAGAAAAGAACUGAAAGGCUGCUGAUGUAUUACUCCAACACAGAGCUGAUGUCAAUGUUCAGGAUGCUGUUUUUUUUCACUGCACUGCACAUCACAGUUUACGAUGGGCAUGAGCAGUGCUUGUACGAAUGGCAAGAGCAUUGAUCUGGUUAAAUUUCUUCUUGAUAAGAUUGUGGUAAACAUCAAUCAGCAAGGAAGAGAUGGGCACACAGAAACAAAAGAUCAUGCUGAAGAGUACAGCAGAUAAAAGUACAGCAGAUGAAAGAUUUCUCAGGCUACCAAGUUGAUCUGAAAUGUUUCUACCUGAGUUUAAUGAAUAGAAGCAGGGAGCUCAUAUAAUUAUAGAGACAGAAGAAGGAAAAAUAUACAAUUCAGAAGAGGGCUAGUGAAAAAUGACAUGGGAGCUAUUUUAAUAAAGACAAGUGAACAGACAUGGCAAGUGAGAGUUAGAUAUAGGUUUGUGAUCUAUUUUUACUUUUUUGAGUAUUAAAUAAAUGCAAAUGCACACAGCUUUGCACAUAUAAUAUCUAUAUGGCUCAAUGAAGUUUUACAAACUGAACCCACCCAGUCUCCAGAUGAUAAAAAUGGACAGGACAAGAACUCUAGAAGCC